CUCAUAGAGAGUUCGAUCUUGGCUUACGAUGAACGCUGGCGGUAUGCUUAACAUAUCAAGUCGGAUGAGAAACACGGGAAACGGUGUUUCCAGUGGCGGAUGGGUGAGUAACGCAUAAGAACCUUCCCUUGGGAUGGGAGCAAUAGCUGGAAAUGGCUACUAAUACCCCGUAGGAUGAGGAGCAAAAGGAGGAAUCCGCCCAAGGAGGAGCUUGCGUCUGAUUAUCUAGUUGGUGAGGCAAUAGAUUACCAAGGUGAUGAUCAGUAGCUGGUCCGAGAGGAUGAUCAGCCACAGUGGGACUGAGACAUGGCCCAGACUCCUAUGAGAGGUAGCACUGGGGAAUUUUCUGCAAUGAGUGAAAGCCUAAUGAAGCAAUGCUGCAUGGAGGUAGAAGGCCCACGGGACGUGGACUUCUUUUCUCAUAGAAGAAGCAAUGACGGUAUCUGAGGAAUAAGCAUCGGCUAACUCUGUGCCAGUAGCCACGGUAAUACAGAGAAUGCAAGCGUUAUCCAGAAUGAUUGGGCAUAAAGCGUCUGUAGGUGGCUUUUUAAGCUCGCCGUCAAAUCCUAGGGCUCAACCCUGGACAGACGGUGGAAACUACCAAGCUGGAGUAUAGUAGGGGCAGAGGGAAUUUCUGGUGGAGCGGUGAAAUGUGUAGAGAUCGAAAAGAACACCAACAACAAAAGAACUCUGCUGGGCCGACACUGACAUUGAGAGACGAAAGCUAGGGGAGCAAAUAGGAUUAGCUACCCCAGUAGUCCUAGCCGUAAAUGAUGGAUACUAGGCGCUGUGCAUAUUGAUCCGUGAAGUGCUGUAUCUAACGCAUUAAGUAUCCCACCUGGGGAGUAUGUUCGCAAGAAUGAAACUCAAAGGAAUGAUGGGGGCCCUCACAAGUGGUGGAUCAUGUGGUUUAAUUCAAUGCAAAGCAAAGAACCUUACUAGAGAUUGACAUGCCGCAAAUCCUCUUAAAAGAGAGGGGUGCCUUUGGGAAUGCGAACACAGGUGGUGCAUGGCUAUUGUCAGCUCAUGCCAUAAGGUGUUGGGUUAAGUCCCGCAAUGAGCAUAACCCUCAUAUUUAGUUACCAUCGCUGAGGUUAGAACCCUGAACAGACUGCCGGUGAUAAGCUGGAGGAAGUUGAGGAUGACGUCAAGUCAUCAUGCCCAUUAUGCCCUGGGUGACGCACCUGCUACUAUGGCUGGGACAAAGGGUCGCGAUCACGCGUAGGUGAGCUAACCCCAAAAACCCAUCCUCAGUUUGGAUUACAGGUUACAACUCGCCUGUAUGAAGCCCGAAUCGCUAGUAAUCGCCAGUCAGCCAUACGGUGGUGAAUUCAUUCCCGGGCCUUGUACACACCGCCCGUCACACUAUAGGAGCUGGCCAUGCCAGAAGUCAUUACCUUAACUGCAAGGAGGGGGAUGCCGAAGGCAGGGCUAGUGACUAGAGUGAAGUCAUAACAAGGUAUCCGUACUGGAAGGUGUGGCUGGAUCACCUCCUUU
Molecule: non-coding RNA, 1497 nt
Organism: Capsicum annuum
Lineage: Eukaryota; Viridiplantae; Streptophyta; Magnoliopsida; Solanales; Solanaceae
Source: Rfam